AUCCAGCUGACGAGUCCCAAAUAGGAUGAAAACACCGUUCUGGAU
This 45-nucleotide non-coding RNA is filed under the name Schistosoma mansoni. The record is from RNAcentral. Lineage: Eukaryota; Metazoa; Platyhelminthes; Trematoda; Strigeidida; Schistosomatidae.